UACGUAGGUGGCAAGCGUUGUCCGGAAUUACUGGGCGUAAAGCGCGCGUAGGCGGCCUUCUAAGUCGGACGUGAAAUCCCUCGGCUUAACCGAGGAACUGCGUCCGAUACUGAAAGGCUUGAAUCCGGGAGAGGGAUGUGGAAUUCCAGGUGUAGCGGUGAAAUGCGUAGAUAUCUGGAGGAACACCGGUGGCGAAGGCGGCAUCCUGGACCGGUAUUGACGCUGAGGCGCGAAAGCUAGGGGAGCAAACGGG
Molecule: ribosomal RNA, 253 nt
Filed under: uncultured bacterium
Lineage: Bacteria
Description: partial 16S ribosomal RNA
Rfam family: Bacterial small subunit ribosomal RNA
Source: RNAcentral